GGCCCAGAUCGUUUACCGUGAAAAAAUUAGAGUGUUCAAAGCAGGCAGAUCCAAUUUUCUGCCACCGAAUACAUUAGCAUGGGAUAAUGGAAUAGGACCCUGUCCUCCUAUUUUCAGUUGGUUUUGGCAGCGCGAGGACUAGGGUAAUGAUUAAUAGGGAUAGUUGGGGGCAUUAAUAUUUAAUUGUCAGAGGUGAAAUUCUUGGAUUUAUGAAAGAUUAACUUCUGCGAAAGCAUCUGCCAAGGAUGUUUUCAUUAAUCAAGAACGAAAGUUAGGGGAUCGAAGACGAUCAGAUACCGUCGUAGUCUUAACCAUAAACGAUGCCGACCAGCGAUUAGGAGACGUUGAAUACAAAACACCACCAUCGGUUGCGGUCGUCCUUGGCGUCUCGGUUUCGGCCGGGGCGCGGGGACGGUUUAGCCCGGUGGCACCGGUGAAUGACUCCCCUAGCAGCUUGUGAGA
This 462-nucleotide ribosomal RNA is filed under the name Acanthamoeba sp. 476DAC. RNAcentral's name for it is "SSU rRNA". It matches the Rfam family "Eukaryotic small subunit ribosomal RNA", at positions 740 to 1095 of the family's 1831-position model. The record is from RNAcentral. Lineage: Eukaryota; Discosea; Longamoebia; Acanthamoebidae.